This 370-nucleotide unclassified non-coding RNA is filed under the name uncultured bacterium. RNAcentral describes it as "contains 16S-23S intergenic spacer region". The record is from RNAcentral.
UCCGGCUUAUCACCGGCGGUUUCCUUAGAGUUCCCAACUAAAUGAUGGCAACUAAGGACGAGGGUUGCGCUCGUUGCGGGACUUAACCCAACAUCUCACGACACGAGCUGACGACAGCCAUGCAGCACCUGUGUACGGCCCCUAAGGACACCACAUCUCUGUGGCUUUUCCGUACAUUUCAAGCCUUGGUAAGGUUCUUCGCGUUGCUUCGAAUUAAGCCACAUGCUCCGCCGCUUGUGCGGGCCCCCGUCAAUUCCUUUGAGUUUCAUUCUUGCGAACGUACUCCCCAGGUGGGUUACUUAUCACUUUCGCUUAGCCACUCAGCCUUACGGCCGAACAGCUAGUAACCAUCGUUUACGGCGUAGACUAC